GGUAAGUACAAGCCUAACUACCCUCUAGCUCACAGACCUGCCCGGUGAAUAGAGCUUUGUUUUUUUGAUGGGCUUGUGAUGACUUUGAGAUCAAUUGCUCAUUCAUUACAGUAAAAAAAAAAAAAAAAUUGUUUUGAACAUGACAGCAAAAAUAACUUUAAGCACAACUUAAUAAUAAUAGAUCACCAAUUUUAGUUAAUAAUUUUAUGCUAUACUCUUGGGUGAGGGAAGACUCGGACACUCAAUAUGAGAUCAGCAAGCUAUGUUUAUUGCAGAGAGUAUCAGACACUUAUACAGCACAUAAUAAGCUUAUGAAUAUUCUGUAAGCCAAGCGAUCUAUUGGUUAAACUAUACCAUCAACUCUUCCUCAUUCCUUUGGGCCUACAUUCCCUAUUUCCCACGUCUCUCUGUCUACUUGUUAUCCUACCCAGCUAGGCCCAGGCACACGCUAUCUUGCAGGUGCAAAACUCAAACUACCUGUGUUCGGUACUUUCCCAGCUCCUGGUCGGCUAACAAGCGAAUGUCUGUGUGACCUCUGUCAUGGAGCCAUUUCUCCACACUAUACUAUCAAAGUUUAAAGGGAUCAGUGAAUUUUAACUCUGGAGUCCUCUAUGCUAAGGAUGCUCAGCUUACAGAUGAUGAAAUGUUCAGUAAUGUAUUUGCUGGAGCUGUGCUUACCCAAGGUUUGGGUAAAACAAGCUUUGGGUUCCUUCUGUCUCACUGGGAGUUGCCCAAUUCAGUUGCAUCUGGUGAAAUUCACCCUGAGACCUUACAGAACUAGCUCCAACUACGUGAGAGCCAUUUGCAGUUCUCUCCAGACACCUGGAGAAUGGGCGACGUUUCUGAGGAUCCGGCGAGCGUGCUUCUGUCAAAACUCAGUCUGUGAAAUUUCUGGGGAAAACACUUCUGUGUCCUGAAGGGUUCAAACUCUGGUGAGGAUCCAGUUAUCAGGUGCUCACCUGGAUGGUUCCAGCUCCCAAAGGGAAAGGCUCUCGUAUCCUUGUCGUCGGGCUCGGUGCUGUCCAAGAAGAUACAGAGACUAAAAAAAUCAUAAGAAGCAAAUAUGACUGCAGGGAAAAGAAGCUGGAGAGAACAGAAGGGGCUGUUUCCAAAGUGACCUACAGACAUUGGAAUGAAAUCAUUAUUUACUGUGUAAAAGAAUCACUCUCCAAAGCAUCAGCCAGGGUCUAAAUGUGCCAUUCUGCCUUUUAAAAGUACCAACAUCACAGGAUUUUUCUCAGAUUAAAGCUUCCAUGGAGUCGGAUCUCUCAAGCCUGGCCCUUGAGAAUUGUGGGCCUCCUGUGAACUGGUUUUGCCAGAAGGGCUUGCUGAGUUUUCCAUUGUGUGGAAAAGAGAUCCCAUUUGCAGCCUGAAGCCUCAUGUUUCCUGUAGGAUUUCCACUCCUAGAAUUGCACACUUUGAAGGAUUUCUUAUAGCAGAAGUUUUUUGGGAACUAGGACUCUGGCUGGAUUUGGGUCUCUGGACUCUCAGGUGAAGUGACCUUGAGACACUAGGGCGUGCAGAUUUCCUUGCUGUUGUAAAGAGCUAUUGUUCGCACCCAGGAGCCAUGGUCUGAAUGGGGGUGUCACCUCUUAAAUUUGCAAAUGUCACAGGAUUUCUUCUAAAUGAAUGGUGCUAAGAACAUAA
Melospiza melodia melodia is the source of this 1647-nucleotide long non-coding RNA. RefSeq lists it as uncharacterized. Lineage: Eukaryota; Metazoa; Chordata; Aves; Passeriformes; Passerellidae. The transcript has 5 exons. The record is from RefSeq and is a predicted model, not a curated record.